UACGUACCGUCCAAACGUUAUUCGGAAUUACUGGGCUUAAAGGGUACGUAGGCGGCGCGGUAAGUCGGGUGUGAAAUCUCGGGGCUUAACUCCGAAACUGCAUUCGAUACUGCCGUGCUUGAGGACUGGAGAGGAGACUGGAAUUUACGGUGUAGCGGUGAAAUGCGUAGAUAUCGUAAGGAAGACCAGUGGCGAAGGCGGGUCUCUGGACAGUUCCUGACGCUGAGGCACGAAGGCCAGGGGAGCAAACGGG
This 253-nucleotide ribosomal RNA is filed under the name uncultured bacterium. Its description in RNAcentral is "partial 16S ribosomal RNA". It matches the Rfam family "Bacterial small subunit ribosomal RNA", at positions 524 to 776 of the family's 1533-position model. The record is from RNAcentral.